AAGAAACUGGCAGAUUAUCUGAAAGUGCUUAUAGACAAUAAACAUCUCUUAAGCGAGUUCUAUGAGCCUGAGGCUUUAAUGAUGGAGGAAGAAGGGAUGGUGAUUGUUGGUCUGCUGGUGGGACUCAAUGUUCUCGAUGCCAAUCUCUGCUUGAAAGGAGAAGACUUGGAUUCUCAGGUUGGAGUAAUAGAUUUUUCCCUCUACCUUAAGGAUGUGCAGGAUCUUGAUGGUGGCAAGGAGCAUGAAAGAAUUACUGAUGUCCUUGAUCAAAAAAAUUAUGUGGAAGAACUUAACCGGCACUUGAGCUGCACAGUUGGGGAUCUUCAAACCAAGAUAGAUGGCUUGGAAAAGACUAACUCAAAGCUUCAAGAAGAGCUUUCAGCUGCAACAGACCGAAUUUGCUCACUUCAAGAAGAACAGCAGCAGUUAAGAGAACAAAAUGAAUUAAUUCGAGAAAGAAGUGAAAAGAGUGUAGAGAGUCUUGCUGUCACCCAGGCUGGAAUGUAGUGGCGUGAUCUUAGCUCACUGCAACCUCCACCUCCCGGAUUCAAGCGAUUUUCCUGCCUCAGCCUCCC
Molecule: unclassified non-coding RNA, 575 nt
Filed under: Homo sapiens (human)
Lineage: Eukaryota; Metazoa; Chordata; Mammalia; Primates; Hominidae
Description: RUN and FYVE domain containing 1 (ENSG00000284260.2)
Source: RNAcentral